GGAUCCAGACUUUGAUUCUGGCUCAGGAUGAACGCUAGCGGCAGGCUUAACACAUGCAAGUCGAGGGGCAGCGCGGGGCAGCAAUGUUCUGGCGGCGACCGGCGGAAGGGUGCGUAACGCGUGAGCGACAUGCCCGUUGCCCGGGGACAACCGGUGGAAACGCCGACUAAUCCCCGAUGGGACGGAGGCCCUCAUGGGUCUCCGUUGAAAGUUACGGCGGCGACGGAUUGGCUCGCGUCCGAUUAGCUUGUUGGCGGGGUAACGGCCCACCAAGGCUACGAUCGGUAGGGGUUCUGAGAGGAAGGUCCCCCACAAUGGAACUGAGACACGGUCCAUACUCCUACGGGAGGCAGCAGUGAGGAAUAUUGGUCAAUGGGCGGAAGCCUGAACCAGCCAUGCCGCGUGCGGGAAGGAGGCCCUAUGGGCUGUGAACCGCUUUUGCCUGGGGGCAAUAAGGGCGUCGUGCACGUCCGAUGAGAGUACCAGGCGAAUAAGCAUCGGCUAACUCCGUGCCAGCAGCCGCGGUAAUACGGGGGAUGCGAGCGUUAUCCGGAUUCAUUGGGUUUAAAGGGUGCGUAGGCUGUGCGUCAAGUCAGGGGUGAAAUUCCGGGGCUCAACUCCGGGGCUGCCCUUGAUACUGUCGCGCUGGAGUGCGGAUGCCGCCGGAGGAAUGAGUGGUGUAGCGGUGAAAUGCUUAGAUAUCACUCAGAACACCGAUUGCGAAGGCAUCUGGCGAAUCCGUAACUGACGCUGAGGCACGAAAGCGUGGGGAUAGAACAGGAUUAGAUACCCUGGUAUUCCACGCCGUAAACGAUGAUGGCUAACCGCCGGCGACACACUGUCGGUGGCCAAGCGAAAGCGAUAAGCCAUCCACCUGGGGAGUACGUCGGCAA
RNAcentral lists this ribosomal RNA (893 nucleotides) under uncultured Bacillota bacterium. RNAcentral describes it as "bacterial SSU rRNA". It matches the Rfam family "Bacterial small subunit ribosomal RNA", at positions 1 to 891 of the family's 1533-position model. The record is from RNAcentral. Lineage: Bacteria; Bacillati; Bacillota.